UGAUCCAACUAUCAUUUCUACAAAUCACCCAACUCUAAAAUGCCCCAAAACCACUAAAAUUACCAAAAUAUCCCCUCAACCUAAAAAGCUUAAACAGCUUUGUCUUUUGCUACUUAGGUCUAUGUUUUCAGACAAGGUCAAACAGUAAUGCUGAAAGUAUUAACAUUGUCUUUUGAACUUUUAGUCAAUUGGCUGACAAGACCAAAUUUACCUUACUCCAUUUAAUCUGAAACUUUUUGAGAUUCAUAUUAUCCAUAAGAGCUUUGCCCACCUGAAGAUCAUUGUAUCAAUUUGGAGAACUGAUAACUAUUGGCUUCCCACUUUUGAUUUAUCCAGCCAAAGCUCAAGUUUUGCCAGCU
Long non-coding RNA from Quercus robur (English oak), 359 nucleotides. RefSeq lists it as uncharacterized. The record is from RefSeq and is a predicted model, not a curated record. The transcript has 2 exons. NCBI's taxonomy places the organism in Eukaryota, Viridiplantae, Streptophyta, Magnoliopsida, Fagales, Fagaceae.